GACGAACGCUGGCGGCGUGCUUAACACAUGCAAGUCGAGCGGAAAGGCCCCUUUGGUGGUCCUCGAGUGUCGAACGGGGGAGUAAGACGUGAGUAACCUGCCCUUGCCUUCGGGAUAGCUUCAGGAAACUGGGGCUAGUACCGGAUAGGGAUCCUUUCUGCAAGGUGGGGGUUGGAAAGCUUCGGCGGGUUUGGAUGGACUCGCGGCGUAUCAGCUUGUUGGUGGGGUAGUGUGUUACCAAGGCGUUGACGGGUAGCCGGCCUGAGAGGGCGACCGGCGACACUGGGACUGAGAUACGGCCCAGACUCCUACGGGAGGCAGCAGUGCGGAAGAUUGCACGAUGGGCGGCAGCCUGAUGAAGCAGCGCCGCGUGCGGGAUGACGGCCUUCGGGUUGUAAACCGCAUUCAGAAGGGGCGAAGCUUGUGGUGACGGUACCUGCAGAAGAAGCACCGGCUAACUACGUG
This 465-nucleotide ribosomal RNA is filed under the name uncultured bacterium. RNAcentral describes it as "partial 16S ribosomal RNA". It matches the Rfam family "Bacterial small subunit ribosomal RNA", at positions 28 to 507 of the family's 1533-position model. The record is from RNAcentral.